RNAcentral lists this ribosomal RNA (497 nucleotides) under uncultured bacterium. RNAcentral describes it as "partial 16S ribosomal RNA". It matches the Rfam family "Bacterial small subunit ribosomal RNA", at positions 28 to 507 of the family's 1533-position model. The record is from RNAcentral.
GAUGAACGCUGGCGGCGUGCCUAAUACAUGCAAGUCGAGCGAACGGACGAGAAGCUUGCUUCUCUGAUGUUAGCGGCGGACGGGUGAGUAACACGUGGAUAACCUACCUAUAAGACUGGGAUAACUUCGGGAAACCGGAGCUAAUACCGGAUAAUAUUUUGAACCGCAUGGUUCAAAAGUGAAAGACGGUCUUGCUGUCACUUAUAGAUGGAUCCGCGCUGCAUUAGCUAGUUGGUAAGGUAACGGCUUACCAAGGCAACGAUGCAUAGCCGACCUGAGAGGGUGAUCGGCCACACUAGAACUGAGACACGGUCCAGACUCCUACGGGAGGCAGCAGUAGGGAAUCUUCCGCAAUGGGCGAAAGCCUGACGGAGCAACGCCGCAUGAGUGAUGAAGGUCUUCGGAUCGUAAAACUCUGUUAUUAGGGAAGAACAUAUGUGUAAGUAACUGUGCACAUCUUGACGGUACCUAAUCAGAAAGCCACGGCUAACUACGUG